RNAcentral lists this ribosomal RNA (518 nucleotides) under uncultured microorganism. RNAcentral describes it as "bacterial SSU rRNA". It matches the Rfam family "Bacterial small subunit ribosomal RNA", at positions 9 to 524 of the family's 1533-position model. The record is from RNAcentral.
GAGUUUGAUCAUGGCUCAGGAUGCACGCUGGCGGCGUGCUUAACACAUGCAAGUCGAACGAAGCGCCUUAUUUGAUUUUCUUCGGAACUGAAGAUUUGGUGACUGAGUGGCGGACGGGUGAGUAACGCGUGGGGUAACCUGCCCUGUACAGGGGGAUAACAAUCAGAAAUGACUGCUAAUACCGCAUAAGACCACAGCACCGCAUGGUGCAGGGGUAAAAACUCCGGUGGUACAGGAUGGACCCGCGUCUGAUUAGCUGGUUGGUGAGGUAACGGCUCACCAAGGCGACGACCAGUAGCCGGCUUGAGAGAGUGAACGGCCACAUUGGGACUGAGACACGGCCCAAACUCCUACGGGAGGCAGCAGUGGGGAAUAUUGCACAAUGGGGGAAACCCUGAUGCAGCAACGCCGCGUGAGUGAAGAAGUAUUUCGGUAUGUAAAGCUCUACCAGCAGGGAAGAAAGUGACGGUACCUGACUAAGAAGCCCCGGCUAACUACGUGCCAGCCGCCGCCGUAAU